This 400-nucleotide ribosomal RNA is filed under the name uncultured bacterium. Its description in RNAcentral is "bacterial SSU rRNA". It matches the Rfam family "Bacterial small subunit ribosomal RNA", at positions 355 to 746 of the family's 1533-position model. The record is from RNAcentral.
UGAGGAAUAUUGCGCAAUGGGGGAAACCCUGACGCAGCGACGCCGCGUGAGUGAGGAAGGCCUUCGGGUCGUAAAGCUCUGUCAAAGGGAAAGAAGUGCAUGGUGGCUAAUACCUGCCAUGUUUGACGGUACCCUUAAAGGAAGCACCGGCUAACUCCGUGCCAGCAGCCGCGGUAAUACGGAGGGUGCAAGCGUUGUUCGGAAUCACUGGGCGUAAAGGGCGCGUAGGCGGUUUGAUAAGUCAGAUGUGAAAGCCCACGGCUUAACUGUGGAAGUGCAUUUGAAACUGUCAGACUUGAGUACCAGAGGGGAAAGUGGAAUUCCCGGUGUAGAGGUGAAAUUCGUAGAUAUCGGGAGGAAUACCGGUGGCGAAGGCGACUUUCUGGCUGGAUACUGACGC